UAGUCCACGCCGUAAACGAUGAUCACUCGCUGUUGGCGAUACACAGUCAGCGGCUUAGGGAAACCUUUAAGUGAUCCACCUGGGGAGUACGGUCGCAAGAUUGAAACUCAAAGGAAUUGACGGGGGCCCGCACAAGCGGAGGAGCACGUGGUUUAAUUCGAUGAUACGCGAGGAACCUUACCUGGGCUUAAAUGUAAGACGAUCGUCCCCGAAAGGGGAUUUUCCUUCGGGACGUCCUACAAGGUGCUGCAUGGUUGUCGUCAGCUCGUGCCGUGAGGUGUCGGGUUAAGUCCCAUAACGAGCGCAACCCCUAUCCUUAGUUGCCAUCAGAUAAUGCUGGGGACCCUAAGGAAACUGCCUACGCAAGUAGUGAGGAAGGUGGGGAUGACGUCAAAUCAGCACGCCCCUUAUGCUCUGGGCUACACACGUGCUACAAUGGCCGUGACAAAGAGUUGCUACUUUGUGAAAACAAGCUAAAUCUCAUAAACGCGGCCUCAGUUCGGAUUGCAGGCUGAAACUCG
Molecule: ribosomal RNA, 521 nt
Filed under: uncultured bacterium
Lineage: Bacteria
Description: bacterial SSU rRNA
Rfam family: Bacterial small subunit ribosomal RNA
Source: RNAcentral